Molecule: long non-coding RNA, 1007 nt
Filed under: Mus pahari (shrew mouse)
Lineage: Eukaryota; Metazoa; Chordata; Mammalia; Rodentia; Muridae
Description: RIKEN cDNA 1700129L04 gene (MGP_PahariEiJ_G0032921.1)
Source: RNAcentral
GUCUGAUUCCAGGGAGGUAGUCCUAUAGCUGGGCCUUGGAGAUCUGGGCAGUCAUUGCUUUAGAGCAAUUACCCAUAAUAAGAGGAGCUGAGUUGGUGACAACACUUUGAAGGAGAUGUAGUAGACUGUGGCCAAAGCUUCAGCGAGCAGGCUACCCUGUUUAGAUGUGACCAGACCUAUAGAAUCCUGAGUCUUGAGGUCUCCUCAAAACAUACUAGAACACCACAAGAGAAUUCCUGGGAGCACUGAACAAAGGUCACACAAAAUUAGACUUGUAUGUCAAUGUGCUGCAUAUCUUCACCUUCAGAGAAGACUAAAGGCCAAUGUAAGCAUCAGCCAGGGGAAUGACAGUAUCACCUGCAAGACUGAGAUGCCCUUGCUUGUUCGAAAGUACAGCUGGCUCACACACCACAGGCAGGUUCUUUGAGACAAAGCUAGAAGAAAUCAGGCCAGACAGAACAGUGAGUCUCUAUUGACUGAGCAAGAACAUCACCGCAAAAUCUCAUAUGAAGUUGCAAGGCCAAAAGUUGUCUUAAAAAUAGUGACCAGUUCUAAGGGAGGACAGAUAAACAAUAAACAAUGGUGGUGUUCUGGGUUCUUGAAUAAUCUAAUCGGAAUCAAGGAGUUAUCCACUAAAAGUUAUUUACUGCCAUUGUCUAUUUCAUAUUUCAUAUUGGAUCAUUUUGUGACCAAGAGGGCAGUCAGAGAGUGCACUGGAAGGCUUAUGAGCCCCCUGGGUGACAUGAAGCAGGUUGAUCCCACUCCUGCCUUUCCUACUAAGUGCUUGGAGAGCUUCUGCACAUUAGACAUGAAAUUGGACACUGUGAGAAUUGAUUGGCCCACAGGGAGAAUAGAGAAGAAAUCAUUCUUAACAGCUCUAGUCAGUCAGUGGUGAUCUUAGGCACUAAAUGGCAAAGGAACACCAUAAGUAGCCACCAUGUAGAGAAGAUGAGUGGCUAGCUCUGGCUUUGUAAAUACAAAUUGCCAUGUGGCGGUGAGGGUUGUUU